Molecule: small RNA, 3267 nt
Filed under: Pan troglodytes (chimpanzee)
Lineage: Eukaryota; Metazoa; Chordata; Mammalia; Primates; Hominidae
Description: processed transcript
Source: RNAcentral
ACCAAGGGCUGCCAGGCAGAGGCCGACCGUGCUGAAGUGAGUCGCUUUGCCAAGAACUUUCUGCCGAUCCUUUUCAACCUGUAUGGGCAGCCCGUGGCAGCCGGGGACACUCCAGCCCCUCGCCGGGCUGUGCUGGAAACCAUCAGAACUUACCUCACCAUCACUGACACUCAGUUGGUGAACAGUCUCCUGGAAAAAGCCAGUGAGAAGGUGCUCGACCCUGCCAGCUCUGACUUUACCAGAUUGUCUGUCCUGGACCUGGUCGUGGCCUUGGCUCCGUGUGCUGACGAAGCCGCCAUCAGUAAGCUAUACUCCACCAUCCGGCCCUACCUAGAGGUGAGCCUCGGCGGCCAGGAGCCCCAUACAGCCACGCUUGGGGGCAGAUGGGCUGUGGGAAGGUGGAGCCUGUCUUCCUGUCUUUGUCCCUUGCUGCUUCCCAAGAUCAGGUCCCUGUCUGCUUUCUCCUGCAGUGGCUUCCCUUUGUGUCCUGUGUAGCCCAUCUGUCUUGCAGGUCCCAAAGGGACUGAAAUGCACAGCUGUGCUUAGGCCUUGCCUGCUGAGUGACUCUUGUAGAACCAAGGCCAUGCUCCUUUGCCUGGCUCAUUCCGCAGGCCCAUCCCAGACCGGCCUGAGCUUUAUCCCACCCAGUCCACUCUCCUCUACUCCUGCUGCAGCCUCCUUCAGCUGCCUUAAGCCUCCCUGAUAUAACAGGCCCCGUCUGUGCCUUUGCAGGGUUUGGGUCCUCAGCUUGAAAUGCCCUCUGCUGUGGCCAGCAACCCUGCAGAUCUCAGCCCAGCAGUGACCCCCUGAAAGCUGCCCCCAUUGCCACAGUUUAGUAGCAGUUACCUAACAGUGUGAGAAGUGCUCUGGGGCAGCACUGCAGGUGGACAUGGAAAUCCAGGGCCAGGCCACGUCACCUCAGGAAAGGUGUUGGGGGUUGGGGGAGUGUGACAGAGAGCUGGUUUGGAGGAGCAAGGAGUUGUCAGUCUUGGAAGGAGAGAGAAGAGUGCUCCGGCUAGAAAGAGCAGCAGAUGUGCAGGCCUUGGCGCGUGCCAGGCACCAUGAGCUCAGGCCACUGGAGUGAGCACUGUCCAGAGCUGGGUGAGUGGAGUGGAUUGGUGGGCCCCACGGCACACACCCCCAACCCCUGUGCCUCGCCCAGGAGUUAGCCACUCACUGUCCACAUUCCACUGGUCCUCUGUCAAGCCACAUGAGCCCCCACGGACCCCUGCUCAGAAUCCCUCCAGUGCUGGGGGAUGCUCCGUGGAUAGCAUUGGACAGGGAGUGAGCCCCAGGCCUCCCUCACCGGUUCCUGUCUGCCAGAGCAAGGCCCACGGGGUGCAGAAGAAGGCCUACCGAGUGCUGGAGGAGGUGUGUGCCAGUCCUCAGGGCCCCGGGGCCCUCUUCGUGCAGAGCCACCUGGAGGACCUGAAGAAGACACUGCUGGACUCACUGCGGAGCACCUCCUCACCCGCCAAGAGGCCCCGUUUGAAGUGCCUCCUACACAUCGUGAGGAAGCUCUCAGCUGAACACGAGGAGUUCAUCACUGCCCUCAUCCCAGAGGUGAUCCUGUGCACCAAGGAGGUGUCGGUGGGCGCACGGAAGAACGCUUUUGCACUGCUCGUGGAGAUGGGCCAUGCUUUCCUAAGGUUUGGCUCGAACCAGGAAGAGGCCCUGCAGCGCUACCUCGUCCUGAUCUACCCUGGCCUGGUGGGCGCGGUGACCAUGGUCAGCUGCAGCAUCCUGGCCCUGACCCACCUCCUUUUCGAGUUUAAAGGUCUGAUGGGGACCAGCACAGUGGAGCAGCUGCUGGAGAAUGUGUGCCUGCUUCUGGCCUCCCGCACCCGUGACGUGGUCAAGUCUGCACUGGGCUUCAUCAAGGUGGCGGUGACUGUCAUGGACGUGGCGCACCUGGCCAAACAUGUGCAGCUGGUGAUGGAAGCCAUUGGGAAGCUUUCAGAUGACAUGCGGCGGCACUUCCGCAUGAAGCUUCGGAACCUGUUCACCAAGUUCAUCCGCAAGUUUGGAUUUGAGCUGGUGAAAAGGCUGUUGCCCGAGGAGUACCACAAAGUCCUGGUCAACAUCCGGAAAGCUGAGGCCCGGGCCAAGAGGCACCGAGCCCUGAGCCAGGCUGCCUUGGAGGAGGAAGAAGAGGAGGAGGAGGAGGAGGAGCCCGCCCAGGGCAAAGGUGACAGCAUUGAGGAGAUUUUAGCUGACUCAGAGGACGAGGAGGACAAUGAGGAGGAGGAAAGAAGCCGAGGCAAGGAGCAGCGGAAGCUGGCACGACAGAGGAGCCGGGCAUGGCUGAAAGAGGGUGGUGGGGACGAGCCCCUCAACUUCCUGGAUCCCAAGGUGGCCCAACGAGUCCUGGCCACGCAGCCAGGGCCAGGCCGGGGCAGGAAGAAGGACCACGGCUUCAAGGUGAGCGCCGAUGGCCGGCUGAUCAUAAGGGAGGAGGCAGACGGCAACAAGAUGGAGGAAGAGGAAGGCGCCAAAGGCAAAGAUGAAGAAAUGGCUGACCUAAUGGAAGAUGUGAUCAUCAGGAGUAAAAAGCACCAGAAGCUCAAGCACCAGAAAGAGGCUGAGGAGGAGGAGCUGGAGAUACCCCCUCAGUACCAAGCUGGAGGCUCUGGCAUUCAUCGCCCUGUGGCCAAGAAGGCUAUGCCUGGGGCCGAAUACAAGGCCAAGAAAGCAAAAGGUGAUGUGAAGAAGAAAGGCCGGCUGGAUCCCUAUGCCUACAUCCCCCUCAACAGAAGCAAGCUCAACCGCAGGAAGAAGAUGAAGCUGCAGGGACAGUUCAAAGGCCUGGUGAAGGCUGCCCGGCGAGGUUCCCAGGUGGGACACAAAAACCGCAGAAAGGAUCGUUGACCCUGAGGCCCAGGGCCCCUGGGCUGCCCUGUGGUCCAGUCUGAGGCCCUUUCAGCCCCCAGGCUGCCUUGCCACCAGCUCCAGGUGCUCAAGAUUCUGGCAGAGCCUGGACUCAGGAUGACUUGGAACUAGGGCUUGGCUCUCAGAAGUCCUGGAUUUUGGAAACUCCAAAUGGAAUCACCCUUCAGAGACAUCCCUGGUGCCUGGAGAUGGGAAUGUGGCCUCAGUGCCUCUGAGUAGGUGCCAUGAGGCACCUUUGCUUUCUGCCCAGAGUGGCCAUGAGCACCAGAACAGAUGAUCUCCAUUUCCGCCAGCUGCUUGUAGCCACGUGGCAUCCUGCCUGUGGUCUGGGUGAGAUUUACUGUGACCAGAUGUAGAAUAAAUGUGUCUCAUCCUGCA